AAUAUUGUAAUUAUUGAGUAAAGGCGUAAAUUGUGGAAAUACGAAUAGUGUCGUGGUUAUAUGAUUAGGAGGUCGAUGUGAUAUUAUUGCAAGUGCAGGGGUGCAAGUGUGAUAAGUAUAUGUAUAUACAUAUAUAUGGACGUACAGGGAAAAACCCAUUUUUUCCCUUUUCCACUUUUUUUUCUUCUUUUCUUCCUUUCUCUCUAUUCUCUCGGCUCUCUCCCUCCGAAACUCUCCCUCCACUCCUUUCCUUGAUUUCAUCUACUUAGGGCGCGAUUCCGAACAAAGUCCAAGAAUUAAAGUUGUUAUAUGGAGCGCGGGCUUCCUAUACAUCCAAGAAAAAUUACGAUUGGGCCUCGUGGGAGCUCGGUUGACUUGGUCAAAGGGUUGGGUUUUGCUCAAAACCCAUGAGGUAUGAUUCAAGGAUGUUGGCAUGGAGUGCUCGUUGUGCAUUUGUGGCCAAACCUUUAAAAGGUAUUCAAGAAGGAUUUCAUAGCACAAAAUUUGAAAGAGCAUUUUUAGAAAAGAUGUUAUUUGUAAAUUGUAAUAAUAUUUCCGUAGAAUACUGGUAUUUUGAUGACUUGGGGCAUUCGAGUUGGAAAUGAAAUAUUUGAAUUUUAUUUGAGAACAGUGAACAGAAAGGUCUUUUGGGGUAUUAUUUAUACUACAGCGAGGACUUUAUUUAUUAAAAGUGUUUAUUAUUUA
Long non-coding RNA from Rhododendron vialii, 705 nucleotides. RefSeq lists it as uncharacterized. Lineage: Eukaryota; Viridiplantae; Streptophyta; Magnoliopsida; Ericales; Ericaceae. The transcript has 2 exons. The record is from RefSeq and is a predicted model, not a curated record.